Molecule: non-coding RNA, 224 nt
Organism: Parasteatoda tepidariorum (common house spider)
Lineage: Eukaryota; Metazoa; Arthropoda; Arachnida; Araneae; Theridiidae
Source: RefSeq, a predicted model, not a curated record
CUCACAUCAAUUGAAUUGAUUUUGUGCGUAUACGUUAACAAUAUAUUUUGCGAUGUUUCUCGUUUAUCUAUUCUAUGAUUUAGGAAGGGAGCUUGGUACAAAUUCAGAUGUUAAGCACAGUGAUGAAGGGGAAACUAAAACAACAGCUGAAGGUGAUAGUGAAGGAGAUCAUGAUAUAAAUAUAGAUGUUGCACACACAGAUGAAGAGGAAAUUGUAGCAAGUG